This 452-nucleotide ribosomal RNA is filed under the name uncultured bacterium. Its description in RNAcentral is "partial 16S ribosomal RNA". It matches the Rfam family "Bacterial small subunit ribosomal RNA", at positions 354 to 796 of the family's 1533-position model. The record is from RNAcentral.
AUCGAGAAUCUUCCACAAUGGACGAAAGUCUGAUGGAGCGACGCCGCGUGAGUGAUGAAGGCCCUACGGGUUGUAAAACUCUGUCAGGAGAGAAGAAUCGCCGGGGUGCCAAUACCACCCUGGUCUGACGUUAUCUCCAGAGGAAGCUCCGGCUAACUCCGUGCCAGCAGCCGCGGUAAUACGGGGGGAGCAAGCGUUGUCCGGAAUUAUUGGGCGUAAAGGGCGUGUAGGCGGCCUGGUCAGUCGAAUGUGAAAUCCCACGGCGCAACCGUGGAACUGCGUUCGAUACUGCCUGGCUUGAGUAUGUGAGAGGUGUGCGGAAUUCCGGGUGUAGCGGUGGAAUGCGUAGAUAUCAGGAAGAACACCGAUGGCGAAGGCAGCACACUGGCGCAAUACUGACGCUGAGGCGCGAAAGCGUGGGGAGCAAACAGGAUUAGAUACCCGAGUAGUCC